UACGUAGGCGGAAAAUUAAGUCAGUAGUGAAAUCCUGCAGCUUAACUGUAGAACUGUUAUUGAUACUGGUUUUCUUGAAUAUAGUUGAGGUAGGCGGAAUGUGUAAUGUAGCGGUGAAAUGCUUAGAUAUUACACAGAACACCGAUUGCGAAGGCAGCUUACUAAGCUAUGAUUGACGCUGAGGUACGAAAGCGUGGGGAGUGAACAGGAUUAGAUACCCUGGUAGUCC
Molecule: ribosomal RNA, 229 nt
Filed under: uncultured bacterium
Lineage: Bacteria
Description: partial 16S ribosomal RNA
Rfam family: Bacterial small subunit ribosomal RNA
Source: RNAcentral